CCCUUAGAUGUUCUGGGCUGCACGCGCGCUACACUGACACACUCAGCGAGUCUCCUGGCCCGAGAGGGUUGGGUAAUCAUGUGAGCGUGUGUCGUGAUGGGGAUAGAAUAUUGUAAUUAUUGCUCUUCAACGAGGAAUUCCUAGUAAGCGCGAGUCAGCAGCUCGCGCUGAUUACGUCCCUGCCCUUUGUACACACCGCCCGUCGCACCUACCGAUUGAAUGGUCCGGUGAAGCCUCCGGAUUGGCGCGCACCUCGGUGCCGCCGAGAAGUUGGCUAAACCUUACCAUUUAGAGGAAGGUGAAGUCGUAACA
Molecule: ribosomal RNA, 312 nt
Filed under: uncultured eukaryote
Lineage: Eukaryota
Description: partial 18S ribosomal RNA
Rfam family: Eukaryotic small subunit ribosomal RNA
Source: RNAcentral